Small nuclear RNA from Suricata suricatta (meerkat), 106 nucleotides. NCBI's taxonomy places the organism in Eukaryota, Metazoa, Chordata, Mammalia, Carnivora, Herpestidae. The record is from Ensembl.
GUGCUCACUUUGGUGGCAAAUAUACUAAAAUUGGAACAAUACAGAGAAAAUCAGCAUGGCCCUAUGCAAGGAUGGUGCUCAAAUUUGUGAAAUGUUCCAUAUUGAA